AUGCAAUUCUUCCCUGUCUGGUGUCAGAUGGCAGAGUACAUCUGCACAUCAGAUCUGAGGACCAAAGUCAGUGAAAGCAGACAAAACUGCUCAGGUCUUGGUACUAGUAGAGUUCAAACUUGUGUUCCCUGCUUGGGAAGAAUGAGUAAGAGAGAGGUUUGGCUGACCACCUCCACAGCUCAGUGCUCAGGGCCCCAUGAUGCUCGCGUUGGCUGAAGGGAGGCAGCAAAAACUAGCUGGGAAAGCCUUGUUCUGCUACGACUUCAGAAAAGGAAACAAAGGAAUAUCCAGCUGUGCUGCCCAUAAUGAGCAUCAUGAAACAUCACAGCAUGUUUUAACAGAGAGAUAUUCUACUGCAAUAACAACUGAUAUUCUAAACUCACAUUAAUUUAAGUUUAAAUAUAUAUAAAGAAAAAAAGAAAGUAACAGCAACAGCAAGAAACUCCCUAAAAAUAUCAGGGAAUUUCAGGGAAUUCUGAAAAGGCUGCUGGACAAAUAAACAGAAGAAAAAGAUUUCUGUGAUGUUCA
Molecule: long non-coding RNA, 528 nt
Filed under: Cyanistes caeruleus (blue tit)
Lineage: Eukaryota; Metazoa; Chordata; Aves; Passeriformes; Paridae
Description: lncRNA (ENSCCEG00000000816.1)
Source: RNAcentral